GCCUAAUUUAUAAAUGAUGCGUGUGGUUCUCUAUUGAACUCCGUAACUGCCUUAUGGUAUUUCCCUCUUUAUCAUGAUGUGGUUUUUCUUUAAAUUAGUAAUAGGAGUUUUUUCUCUAUUAUGAUGAGGUUUAUCAUUAUUAUGAUAAGCUUUUUUCUCUAUUAUGAUGAGGUUUUCUAUUAUGAUGAGCCUUUUCUCUAUUAUGAUCAGCUUUUUCUAUAUUAUGAGUAGGUCUUAUUCUAUUAUGAUGAGGUUUUUCUUUAUUUUGAUGAGGGUUUUCUUUAUUUUGAUGAGGGUUUUCUUUAUUAUGAUGAGGUUUUCUUUAUUUUGAUGAAGGUUUUCUUUAUUAUGAUGAGUUUUUUCUCUCUCAUGAUGAGGUUUUUCUUUAUUUUGAUGCAGUCAAUACCCAAACAGUUCCGAUGUUGUUGCACUCCCCAAUACUAUAUAUUCCCCUACCUGCUACCGAUAUGGCACAAUAAUGCCAACAGGUGAACAAGAUGAAAGAAUUCUUGAACAUGUUGUAUAAGGUCGAAGCGUAUGAGAAAGAAAAGGUCGAUUUGCAAUGAUUUUUUUUUUUUUUUUAAGUUUAACGGAAAUAAAACUGCGGAGUCUUGGUGAUAUAACUCUCGUAGAUAUACACAGGUAGCAAUAGUUCUGUAGAAAAACAACAUGAUUUCAUAAAUUUUCUAUGAUAAAACAUUGUUUUAUUACCUUUAACUAGAUUAACUAGAUUAUCAGUAUGAUUAAUAAUUGUUUACCCUUGUCUGUGAUUGUGUGUGUUCGUCCGAAAGAAAAUAUUUUCGUCACAUUUUUCUAAGCAACCACAAAUCAUAGCCACUUGAAACCUGUUAUGCUGGUGGUCCCAUAUGGUCGGAUGUGUCUCCGAGUUCACGCAAAGAUUGCCCUGUCAGUUCUGACGUAGAGAUUUUUGUAAAUUAUGGGGUAGGUUCACCACUGUUUGUAAAAUUCAUCAUAGAAAUGUUAUUUGACACUGACAGAAUUUCUUGAGGGACCACCAUAGGAAUAUAAUUACUGUUCACGAAUUUUAAGAGAUUUCCCAUGUCCGAAAUCUUGAAGUCACAAUCCAAAAU
RNAcentral lists this long non-coding RNA (1091 nucleotides) under Mytilus galloprovincialis (Mediterranean mussel). Lineage: Eukaryota; Metazoa; Mollusca; Bivalvia; Mytilida; Mytilidae. The record is from RNAcentral.